Molecule: ribosomal RNA, 252 nt
Filed under: uncultured bacterium
Lineage: Bacteria
Description: partial 16S ribosomal RNA
Rfam family: Bacterial small subunit ribosomal RNA
Source: RNAcentral
UACGAAGGGGGCGAGCGUUGUUCGGAAUCACUGGGCGUAAAGAGUGCGUAGGCGGCGAUAAAAGUUAGGAGUGAAAGCCCAGGGCUCAACCUUGGAAUUGCUCUUAAAACUAUAUUGCUCGAAUUCGGGAGAGGAUAGCGGAAUUGUCAGUGUAGCAGUGAAAUGCGUAGAUAUUGACAGGAACACCAGUGGCGUAAGCGGCUAUCUGGACCGACAUUGACGCUGAGGCACGAAAGCGUGGGGAUCAAACAG